UUCCCUGCUGUGACAAGGCAGGAUCAAUAUCUCCUGCAACAGAUUCCUGCAGUUCAGGGUUCUGAAAGUCUAUGUUAUAUUGAUGCUUGCCUGUUAGUUUAGCUCAGUGCCUAGUGAUGAAUUUCUACUGUCUAGGAGUAGGUUUAUGCUAAUCAGAUUGGAGCUAGGCACGUUGGUGUCCUUCCCUUUGCCUCAAUCCAUCCCAUAAGAAAUCGAUGGAUCUAUUCUUUACUCCUUAAUCUUACAAGCCGUAUUGCUUUCAGCUGGCUGUUAAAUGGGUUUGGCUCCAUCUCGACAGCUCACACAGUCACGAUGUUACUCAAGUCUUUGUAUAUUUCAGAUAAAUUACUCGCAGCAAACACAGGCUGAGCCCAGCCAUGCUGGUGGCUCUGGGCACUGAGCAGAACUGCAGCACAAGCCCACUUUCAGGCUUUUUGUAAGCCCACAUCUCUUUUCUGGCUAAGAACUUGAGGCUGAACUGCUUGGAACUGCUCUUAUCUCUGUUACCAUACGCUGUGAGCCCAGUACUGAGCUCCAUGGUUUGAAUUAAGCCUCUUUCUCUGCACCAGAGAUGUUCCUCGUGCAAGAGGACUGUCCUGGCAUCUCCUCUCAUCCUUCUUGGGAAAGGAAAUCCUGAGCAAUGUGGUGUGAUCCAAGUGGCCCUUCCAUCUCCGCUAUCAUCAGAAAACACCAUGUGCUUCAUGGGCAUGGCGCUGUGAAAUGGUUCCAGCUGUUCAACCCCGUGGAGAUGGACAAAAGUCAGAUGCAGAGUCUCUCCAUCCACCUCUGGGCCUGGCAGAGGAUGCUUGAGGUGGGGCUGGAUGAACCACAGCACUUUAAAGCAAAGUUGAAGGCAAAACGGCAACAUUUUCUGUGCUUGUGAGGCUGUGCUCCUGUUAAAAGUCACUCAUAUGGCAGCCAUCAAAAAGGUUUGGCUUUUUGCAUGUGAAAAAAAAUGUUUGUAUUAUUAAAAGAACAGUAUUCUGUGCCUUCUUCAGAAGGUAACGUGCACCAGAAACAAGCACUGUACUUC
Long non-coding RNA from Gallus gallus (chicken), 1033 nucleotides. Lineage: Eukaryota; Metazoa; Chordata; Aves; Galliformes; Phasianidae. The record is from Ensembl.